GGAGAUGUGUCCGAGCGGUUUAAGGAGGCGGUCUUGAAAACCGUUGAUGUGAAAGCAUCCGUGGGUUCGAAUCCUACCAUCUCCGCCA
This 88-nucleotide transfer RNA is filed under the name Clostridia bacterium. RNAcentral describes it as "tRNA-Ser". It matches the Rfam family "tRNA". Rfam says of the family: Transfer RNA (tRNA) molecules are approximately 80 nucleotides in length. Their secondary structure includes four short double-helical elements and three loops (D, anti-codon, and T loops). The record is from RNAcentral. Lineage: Bacteria; Bacillati; Bacillota; Clostridia.